AGAGAGAGACAUGCGCGCAUAUCAAUAAGCGGAGGAAAAGAAACUAACAAGGAUUCCCUUAGUAACGGCGAGUGAAGCGGGAAGAGCUCAAAUUUGAAAUCUUCAAGGUUUUACCUUGACGAAUUGUAGUUUAAAGAAGUGUUUUCUGCUGAAGUUUUGGUAAAAGUUCUUUGGAAUAGGACAUCAUAGAGGGUGAGAAUCCCGUAUUUGACCAUUAUUUUCAGCUAUGUGAUACACUUUCAAAGAGUCGGAUUGUUUGGGAAUGCAGUCCAAAAUGGGUGGUAAAUUUCAUCUAAAGCUAAAUAUUGGCGAGAGACCGAUAGCGAACAAGUACCGUGAGGGUAAAGAUGAAAAGAACUUUGAAAAGAGAGUUAAACAGUACGUGAAAUUGUCAAAAGGGAAGCGUUUGACACCAGUGUUGUUUUCUCGAAAAUCAAUUAAAAAUGGCUCGAUUUUGUAUUGUUGAGACCUUAAAAGCUCACUGUACAUUUUUCGUGUCUUUUUUAAUGCACUUUUCGUUUAACAAGUCAACGAUCAGUUUCUUUUGUUGUAAAAGGGUCAUUGGAAGGUGGCUUUCUUUUCGGAGAAAGUAGUUUAUAGCCUUUGGCCUCUGCAAUCGGAGAGACUGAGGUCUGCAGCGUAGACUCUUCGGGGUUAGAUACAUUUGUGCUAAGUUAUAGCUUUUUAUAGACAACUUGUUGACUAUAAUUAGUCACUGUAGCUUACUCGCUUAUGCUAUUUUACCUACGCUUAGGAUGUUGAGUCGUAGAGCACGCAG
RNAcentral lists this ribosomal RNA (778 nucleotides) under uncultured Neocallimastigales. RNAcentral describes it as "partial large subunit ribosomal RNA". It matches the Rfam family "Eukaryotic large subunit ribosomal RNA", at positions 23 to 634 of the family's 3401-position model. Lineage: Eukaryota; Fungi; Neocallimastigomycota; Neocallimastigomycetes; Neocallimastigales. The record is from RNAcentral.